GUGUCAGCCGCCGCGGUAAUACCAGCUCCUCGAGUGGUUGGGACGAUUAUUGGGUUUAAAGCGUUCGUAGCCGGUCGGAAAAGUCCUCCGUUAAAUCCAACGAUCCAAUCGUUGGGCUGCGGGGAAUACUCUUCGGCUUGGGGGCGGGGGAGGUCGACGGUAGUCCCGGGGUAGGGGCGAAAUCCUAUAAUCCCGGGAGGACCACCAGUGGCGUAGGCGGUCGACUAAAACGCGCCCGACGGUGAGGGACGAAAGCUGGGGGAGCGAACGGGAUUAGAUACCCCGGUAGUCCCAGCUGUAAACGAUGCAGGCUAGGUGUUGGGACGGCCACGAGCCGUCUCAGUGCCGCAGGGUAACCAUUAAGCCUGCCACCUGGGAAGUACGGCCGCAAGGCUGAGACUCAAAGGAAUUGACGGGG
This 418-nucleotide ribosomal RNA is filed under the name uncultured prokaryote. RNAcentral describes it as "bacterial SSU rRNA". It matches the Rfam family "Archaeal small subunit ribosomal RNA", at positions 455 to 873 of the family's 1478-position model. The record is from RNAcentral.